RNAcentral lists this long non-coding RNA (16062 nucleotides) under Marmota monax (woodchuck). Lineage: Eukaryota; Metazoa; Chordata; Mammalia; Rodentia; Sciuridae. The record is from RNAcentral.
UAAGUGUCCCCACCUGCCCUUUCCCACACACCUUGCAGGCAAGCUGUGGUGCCAUGAGACUGCCUGGUGAUGGACAGACCAGCACAGGAGACGCGUCACUGCAAGAGCCCCCCUCAUACCCUCCCGUUCAGGUCAUCCGGGCCCGAGUGUCUUCCAGCAGCUCCUCUGAGGUGUCCUCCAUCAACUCAGACCUGGAGGUACAGGGUCUGCCUGCGGGCGGGUGCAGGGGUGUGUCGCUCACCCACACUCACCCUGCCUCCUCGGGCUUGCUGUGCUCUUCUCUGAUCUUGCCAGUGAACCUCACCCUGCUGUUAAAGAAUGCGCCUCUGCACAGCUGCCAGUCUGCCUGCUGCCAGUCUGCCUGAGGAGCUUCCCAAACCAGCUCGGGACUAAGAAGAAGGCCCCAUGGUCAAUCUGGUCAGGGGAACACUGGGUUUUGGAGUCUAGUCAUCAGGGAUCGCUUGCACAUUUGAGUCUACAGAAGCAAAUGCACAAAUAAUAAACUAGUUUUUAAAGUCUCAAAAAAAUCUUAAAAGCUAGGGGUGUGGCUUGGUGGUAGCGCACUUGUCUAGCGUACACCAGAUGCACCAGGCCCUGUUCCAGCCAUUGCAAAAAAAAAGAAGAAAGCCUUUGUGCUUCCCCAGCCCAUUUGACCAUGGAAGCUUUUCUUUGUCCCAGGGAAUGUCAGCUCCUCCUGCCGUGCCAGCACACAGGUUGCACACUUUAUUUAGUACCUUUGCUUCAUUUUGUAUCUGUGAGCAAAACUCAUGUCCCAUCUUGGAUGCACAAGUCUCAUGUCUGAGUUGUCCCAUAACUAUGGUUUCUGGCCCCAUUCAACGAGGAAGUUUCCAUUUGUCUGAGGAAAAAAAGAGAAUGAGGACGAUGUGGUGGUAAUGGGCAUGUUGGCAGAAGGGGGCCAGCUGUCUCUUUUUGGUGAGGGAAGGACUGUCUUUCUUUCUGAUUUUGUGUUCUUCCAUCUUUUUUGGUGUUAAGUGCCCUUUUUGAAAUGAUGGUAAUAAUAGGUGGUAGUUAGGGUUGAGUUUUUGGUUCGGGUUUGGUUCCUACCCUACCUCACCCCACCCCCAGUACUGGGGACCAAACCCAGGGGUGCUCUGCCACUGAGUUGCAUCCCCAGCCCUUUCUAUUUUGGGACAGGGUCUUCCUAAAUUGCUGAAAAUGGCAUUGAACUUGCUUUCCUCCUGCCUCCAGAGUUCUGGAGAUUACAGAUGAGUGGUGCUACACCUAUUUGGUUUGGUUUUUAAUGGCCUCAUUUGGCAAAACAAUCAUUAUCUAUUCUAAGUUCUCAGAUUUAUCAAACUUAUACUGGACCCUGACAUCCAAAACUCAGAGCCACUGAUUUGGGAUGAAGUCCAGUUCCUUGGUGUGAUGUUCUAGCCCUUCUCCAUUUGCCCAGCCUCCUGUUCUUCCCUGCCCUCACCCAGCUCUCUGACCUGACCGUGGACUCUUCUUUGUCCCCAGGCCUUUGGGCCUCAUCUUUCUAGCCCCAUUUCCACGGUUCAUAAUCCUAUCCAGAUGCCACCUCCUGGGAGAAACCACCCCAUCUGUGGCCUCUUCCACUGAGUGCCCAGAACACACAGUCCCUUACACACCUGUACUUUGGAGUGUGCGUGGUCUGGUGAGCUGUGGAGUGACUGUCAUCUUUCUCUAUUCCUCAAUUCUGGAACACAGUGGGCAUGAAGAACUGGGUUGGUGUUAGGACUUCUGUACCCUUUGGGUCAUAUUUCUGUGUCAGUUCAUGUCAUAUAUUUCUUUUUUUUUUGUUUUUUAUUCUAAUUUGUUAUAUAUGACAGUAGGAUGCAUUACAAUUCAUAUUACACAUAUAGAGCACAAUUUUUCAUGUCUCUGGUUGUACACAAAGUAGAAUCACACCAUUCAUGUCUUCAUACAUGUACUUAGGGUAACAAUGUCCUUCUCAUUCCACAGUCUUUCCUACCCCCUCCCUUCCCCUCCCUCCCCUUGCCCUAUCUAAAGUUUUCCUUCCAGGUCCCCCCCCCCAUCCUCAUUAUGGAUCAGCAUCCUCAUAUCAGAGAAAACAUUCAGCAUUUGGCUUUUGGGGAUUGGCUUGCUUCACUUAGCAUAAUAUUCUCCAACUCCAUCCAUUUACCUGCAAAUGCCAUGAUUUUAUUCUCUUUUCAUGCUGAGUAAUGUUCCAUUGUGUAUAUAUACCGCAGUUUCUUUAUACAUUCAUCUACUGAAGGCAUCUAAGUUGGUUCCACAGUUUAGCUGUUGUGAAUUGUGCUGCUAUAAACAUUGAUGUAGCUGUGUCCCUGUAGAUGCUGUUUUUAAGUCCUUUGGGUAUAAACCAAGGAGUGGGAUACCUGGGUCCAAUGGUGGUUCCAUUUGAAGUUUUCCAAGGAAUCUCCAUACUGCUCUCCCUAUUGGUUGCACCCAUUUGCAGUCCUUCUCCCCCACAUCCUCUCCAACACUUAUUGUUGUUUGUCUUCAUAAUAGCUGCCAUUCUGACUGGAGUAGUUUUGAUUUGCAUUUCUCUAAUUGCUAGAGAUGUUGAACAUUUUUUCAUAUAUUUGUUGAUUGAUUGUAUAUCAUCUUUUCAGAAGUGUCUGUUCAGGUCCUCGGCCCAUUUAUUGAUUGGGUUAUUUGUUUUUCUGGUGUUAAGAUUUUUGAGUUCUUUAUAUAUCCUAGAGAUUAGUGCUCUAUCUGAUGUGUAUGUGGUAAGAACUUGUUCCCAAUUAGUAGGCUCUAUAUUCACCUCACUGACUGUUUCUUUUGCUGAGAAGCUUUUUAGUUUGCAUCCAUCCUAUUUGUUGAUUCCUGAUUUUAUUUCUUGUGCUAGAGGAGUCUUGUUAAGGAAGUCAGAGCCUAAUCUGACAUGAUGAGGAUUUGGGCCUACUUUUUCUUCUAUUAGGCACAGGGUUUCUGGUUUAAAUUUUAAGUCCCUGAUCCACUUUGAGUCCAUGUCAUGUAUUUCUUGGAUCCAGUCUCAGAACACGUGGGACACCCAGGGUCCACAGCGGUGUCUGCCAAGGCCUAAGGCUAAGGGAGAAGGAAUAAUCUGGACACUGAAUUCAUUAAGGAGAAGGGACAGGAAGGCUGCUGAGGGCAGGCUCGGGGGAGAGGCGGGCAGCAUUCGCUCUGUGGAAACAAGCGUGUCUUGCUGCCCACCCUCGGCUGAGGCGAGAACUGAAUAGGGAAACUGAAAAUUCCGACAUCUGUCCUUGUGGCUGGUUUGGCCAUUUCUCUGUUUUGCAGUCCUUGUUGUUUUACUCUAUUUUCUCUCCAUUUUUAUAAAUCUGUUGUUUAAAAUAUGUCAGUUCCUAGGAUACAGGGUCACACUCUUAAAUUAAGCAAGUGGAAAUGAUGCUUUUGUCCAUGGUAAAAGGAACAGUCAGAAGCCCAGUCCCCCCGGCCUCUCCCCUGCAGUCUUUCUGCUUCACACCCUAAAACAUAAAUACACUGUAGACAGGCCACCAGGGUCCUUCCUAUAAAGAGAUAACCUCACCUUAACCACACACACACUAGCGGAUCAAAUGGAAUUGUGACGCUCCCAGUAUUGAUUGUUUAGUGUGCGAGCAGGAGGCUGUGGAGCUUUCUUCGGGUGUGUGAUCCAUCAGGGCUUCUGUUUUUAAAGUAACACCGCUCACCUGUUCAGGAGGCUGAGGCGAGAGGGUCGCCUGAGCUCUUCAGUUUGAGCCUGAGCAACCGAGUGAGACCCUGUCUCUAAAUAAAGAAAUAAACGUAAUACAUGUUUUUGGUAUAAAAUUUGGAAAACAAAAAAAAGUAAAGAAGAAAAUUAAGCCCACUCAACCAAUGUGGGACUGGGCAUGAUGGAUAUGCCACCUGGGUUUUGGAAGUAGUAUUUUUGGAGAUCCUGGUUGGCUUGUGGAGAGGAGGGGCUCAGCAGAUGGUUAACAAGUCCCCCUCAGCUGGCCAUCUGCUGGCUCAUUCAGCAGAUGUGUUCUGAAGGCCCAAAUUGAAAGGGAGAAUACCUGAGGACACAUAGGCCCCAGCCUGCCCAGCCUGCUUGGUAAAUUGGCCACAAUCUGAUCCUCUGCCUCACGCACACUCCUUUUAGGAGUGUGACAAGAUGAAACUGUAGAAAUCAAUGUCAGGGCUUAGGUAUUACUUCUGUGGUUUGUGACUUCUCUUGCAGAAUUCACGUAUUUCAUGGUGUUGGACUCAGGUAACCUAGGGCAUCUCUCCCCACUCUUGCCUACCCAUGCCUCUGCCCUCUGCCCUGGACUCCACUGAGGUUGGCUUCCGUGGUCUGCCUCUUACUGACCUCCUGGGUUUCUCCUUGACCCUUUGGGUUGACAAGUGAAUGCUUCCCGACUCCCACUGUCCAGGCCCAGGGGCCUGGGAGCUAUUCUGGACUCAGAGGUGAUGUGUCCAUCCCCUAAGGUCCUUGAUCAUCUCAUAACUGACCUCUGAGGCCAGGUUUUGAUGUCAUGUUCUCGGCCGUGUGCCCCCUAUCCUGAGCACCACAUCCUGCGGUGCGCAGGGGGAGUGGGGGACAGGCGGGUCUCAGCAGCACAGCGUCUCCACACACUCAGUUCACAAAGCGUCUCCAAAUCCAUUCGCAAGGAAGUAAGGUGCUUGCCAAAGUGCUGGGCACGGGGUGGUACAGUGAAGACUCACCAGGACUUUGUAUAAGCAGCCCUGAAGCAGGAGACUAGGAGUAGAGGAGUUUAAUUAGCCACACGAAAAUGAGGAGAAUAAGGAAAGAAAGGAGAAGAGAAGGCAGAUCUGGGGUUUGAACCCAGUGUCAUCCACUCUGAAACUUCCCACGUUGCCCACUGCACUCCAGUGCCUUGAAGGGACUAGUACCCAGGGGGCUUUGCAGGCCAUGUCUGUUAUCCAUUAUUCCCAUUGAAUGUCCUAAGUAACAGAGGGUAAAACAUUGGGAUUUACAAAUAAAUCCAGGGAGGAAUGAGACAGGACCAUGGAGGGACAGCUUGGAUUGUUUUUGUCUUUCUUCAAAGAUCCCACGGGCUGGAUCGACCAGGGUACCAGAUGAAUGGUUUAAGAGCCCCAGUGAGACCAACAGCCAUGUAGAGAGGCCAUUUGCUUGGGCCCUGUAGUUUCCAGAUACCUUCCAGGAGGUGCACCCUCCGCAGACCGUAGAUCCACUCACUCAACCAUCACCCACCCGUCCAGCACAAGGGCCGCCUCGGUCCUGGCAUAGCUGUCCAAAGGGUGCACUGAACAGCUGCUGACAAAGGGUCAUUGUAACCCCAGUGGUCAGGAGUUCAAAGCCAGCCUCAAUAAAAGCAAGGCACUGAGUGACUCAGUGAAAACCUGUCUCUAAAUAAAAUACCAAAUAGGGCAGGAGAUGUGGCUCAGUGGGUGAGUGCCCCUCAGUUCAAUCCCUGGUACCCCCCGCCAAAAAAAGAAAGGGUCACUGAGCUCAUGGAGUCCGAGUCCACAAGUGGGAGGUCAAAGAAAAUAGUAGCAGGGCUUACAGGAGUGGCCUGUCACUUUCCAGGAAGCCAUCUGAGUGCAGGGCCGACCUUCCCCAGCACCGGAACUGCUAAAGAUGUGUGUGUUGUGUCCCCCUGUGCUGACCUAAAGCACGGUGAGGGUGUGAGUGUAGAGACUUGGGAAACUGCAGAGGACCCAGCACUGCUGCUCCUGUGGUGUGGCUUUCGAUGGCUUCUUAUUCUUUUCUUCUGUCUUUUAGACUGUGGGAUUCUAGAACACACAGAGUCCAGCCUUGUGACCAAAGAGUGUUUAUGGCAGUGAAUUAAUCUGUUCCUUCUGGGUUCCCAGCAAUGGCACAGGCCUUCUGUAAGCUGUGUAGGAAUUCUGUAAGGAGCUGUUUCUGUCACUGGCACAAAGUGUGCACAGCAAAGAUGUCCAGGACAGGAGCUUCUGCAGCCAUGUGUGUGUGUGUGUGUGUGUGUGUGCACAAGGGUGCACAUCGAAUGCAUGCAGCAUUGUGUGUGUGUGGCAUGAGAACAGGGCUGAACGCCAGACUGCUGUGUCGGAAGAGGGUCAAGUGUCCUCACUAAUUCUGUGCCUCAGGCUCUUGGUAACCAAGACUGCUUAUUCUGUCUCCAAACCACAUUCAGAACCAGCUGACCAGGACAGAUUCCCUUGGACAUGUGCCAUUCUUAAAGCCAAAUCAUUCUUUUAGGAGAAAAAGACAGAGAAAUGACUAUGAAAGUGCUAAGUUUAAGCCGAGAGUGGCGGCACACAGGUGUGAUCUGAUUCAGGAGGCUGACGGGAAGAUCCCAAGUUCGAGGCCAGCUUCAGCAACUUAGCAAGACUCUGUCUCAAAAUAAAAAACAAAAAGAACUGGGGGUGUAGCUCAGUGGUAGAGUACCCCUGGGUUCAAUCCCCAGUACCAGGGCAGGUUGCCAAUUUUAGAAGAAAAUUUAUGUAAGCAUGAAGAAGGAAAUUAGAACAUGCCAAGAGGCAGCAAAGGUCAGGAAUCAAGUUAAAGAUGUGGCUUCUGCCCUCCACAGGUCUUUUUCCUUCUUGGGGAGGUGAGGGCACCUGCCCUCAGAACCAGCACAACAUAGUCCAUCCUGAAACGUGUGGGGCAGCCGGUUCCCCUUGGGUGGGGAAAAGACUUCACUUGCCCCAAGGGGAACCUGGGCUGUGUAAGGGAAAGAACAGUGGCCCAGGAGUGGGGUGCAUGCAGGGGCUUGUCUGGGGCUUGGGCCUGCACAGGACUUCUCAAGUUGUAGUUUCUCCCUCUGUAAAUGGGAAUCAUGAGACCCGGCUCCCAUAUGACAGAGGGACUGGAUGGGUCCAAUGGGAGUGCUGCCAGCUCUUUGCAAGAUUACCAAGGCACCACACUUGUUGCCAUGGAAAAUGCAGAAGGCGGAGGGUCUGAGCUCAGAUACUGGCUCUGGCCUGUAUGGCUGAAGAACUGGGCACCACCCAUUCAUUUUUCAUAACCUGGUCUGGAAUGGAGAUGAUGAGCCCCAGAGGGUAAAGGAGGCUUGGCCAAAGUCAGAUGUGAAGGAGCUUUGAAAUGCAACAGAGCGCUGUCCACCCAGAGGCCAUGGUGAAACUCCAGCUUUGGACUGGGCCAUCUUCAGGGCCCACCUCGCAACAGAACCCUAAGUGGAAGGUGUAUUUUGGAAGAGGCAGGCAGAGGGUGAUUAUGUGGGUCAGUUCUUGGACAGGCUUCUCUCAGGAAAACAAAUGGGCAACUCAAAAGCAUACUCUGCCAGUGUCCUUGCUAACCUGGUUGCUGAGUCUGCUUAGCUCCACUCAGAACCCUCCCCGCCUCUGUGGUCUCUAGAGUAUUUCCAAUUCCACUGACCUGGUAGGCCUUUCCUUCCAACCCUGGGGUAUUUCCAAGGACGCUGUGUCCUCUCAAUAAAGGAGGUCUGUCCACAGGGGUCAGAACUUCACUGUCACUGAUCCUGCUCAGGAAAGACCUGUGCAGACCUGAAUGGAGAGGGAUUUGCAUGGUCAAACCAACCAGCCAUGGGAUCAUGUUUUGCCCUUGCACAGAGCACUUCAGGGCCUCUGGAACAUUUCCCUUCUUACAUCCCAGUUCUUUCCCUCUACAACAUCCCAGGAAGGAAGAGUGAGCAAGAAAUAGAGCAGGUAGGGAGGAGGAGAUACAGCCCGUUGGGGGGGGGGGGUGAAGCCCUGGGUGAUGCAGAGUACGUCCAUGGUGUUGGCUAAUUAGACAAUAUUUAUAAUUGGGUUUUAUAUAUUUAAUAAUUUGUGUUUAUGUAUAUUGUAUAAUUUGUAUAUAUUUAAUAAUUUGGGUUGUAUAUAUAUAUUUUUUUAAUUUCUUUUAGUGGUUGAUGAACCUUUGUCUUAUUCGUUUAUUUAUAUACAUGGCUGAGCAUCGAACCCAGUGCCUCACACAUGUGAGACAAGUGCUCUACCACUGAGCCCCAGCCCCAGCGCUGUAUAUUUAUAUAUACUUUAAAAGUAGGACUGGCGUGUAGUUCAGUGGCAGAACACUCACCCCGUUGGUCAUGGCCCUGAGUUCAACCUCCAGCCCACCCCCCAAUAUAAAUAAAUAAAUAAUAAAAAUAGAGAGAUGUGGUUUUUUUUUUUUUUCUGUAAUGUUUUAAAGGGACUUGGUCAAAAGGCAGUUGGUUUAAUGGAAUCUGGGAGAGCUGAAGCUGGUGUGUAGUUGGCCAUGAAAACAUUAUGACCUCUGCCAAGUCUAGCACCAUCUCCCCUCCCAGCCUUGGGGAAGGUCAUUUCUCCGCAGAUGCAGGAGGAAGGAGCUGGACAGAUGGUCUCUGAGGAUCCACCAGCUUGAAUUUAAGACAGUGACUCUUAUUUCCUCAGUGACUUAGCCACACCUCCUAUUCCUCAGGAAUGAAAGAAAUGUUGCCACACGCUGUAUAGACCAGAGCUGCAGGGUGCUGCUCCCACAAGCAUGGGAAAGUGAGCUUGUAGAGAUGAAGUGAAUUGCCCUGGGUGCUGGCCCAUGCCUGGAAUCCUAGUGGCUCAGGAGGCUGAGGCAGGAAGAUCACAAGUUCAAAGCCAGCCUCAGCAACUUAGCAAGGCCCUUAGCAACUUAGAAAGACCCUGUUUUUAAAUAAAAUAUUUUAAAAGCUUAGCUGGGGAUGUGGCUCCAUGAUUAAGUUCCCCUGGGUUCAAUCUCCAGAACACACACAAAAAGAACGAAGUGAAUUGAAAUGCCACAUGCUGUGGCUCACAGAGACGAUGGUCCUGGACACAAGUUAAGAAUAUGUGGAGCCAGCUGGAGCAGUCCCAGCUACUCUGGAGGCAGGAAGACAACUUAAAGCCCAGAAGCUGGAGGCCAUCCUGGGCAACAAAGCAAGGACCCAGCUCAGGAAAAAAGGAGAGAGAGAGAGAGAGAGAGAGAGAGAGAGAGAGAGAGAGAGAGAGAGAGAGAAUGUGGAAAUGCUUGUUAUAUAUAGUGGGAGAAAAACUAUGUGAAUAAUUUAAUUAUAUUUCAUUAGAAAUAUAUAUUAUUAUAUAUGUUUCAGAGGUCUGUUUAGUAACAGUUCAUAGAAGUGCUGUUUUAGGGAUAGAAUUAUGGAACUUGUGUUUUUUGAAAAUUUAUCUAUGAUAAACACAUUUUUGCUUUUUUUUUUUUUUGGUUCUGGGAGUGAACUUGAGAUGUGGCGGAGGGAGCACUGAACCGCUGAAUAACAUCCCCAGCCUUUUUAGUUUUUAUUUUGAGAUGUGGCCUUGCAGAGUUACUGAGGCUGGCCUCAAACUUGUGAUCCUCUUGCCCCAAUCUUCCAAGUAGCAGGGAUUACAGGAGCACAUCACUGUGCCUGGCUUACAUUUUGUUAUUCAAGCAUGUAAAAGACUAUAAAAUGUUAUUUAUACAGUUUUGGGGAGAUGAAGAGACCUCACUUAAAAAGACUUGGGGUAACUGUCCCUUCAGAUAUUAUCAUAAUUCAUUUGAAACAGUUUAACAUAAAAAAAAAAAAAAAAAAAAAUCCUGACUACUAUCUCCACUAGAGGGCACUCUUCUCCAAUUGCUGGGGGUUUAUUUAUUUAUUUAUUUUUAGGUGUGAAUGGACACAAUACCUUCAUUUUGUUUGGUUUGGUUCCUUUUUUUUAAUGUGGUGCUGAGGAUCAAACCCAGUGCCUCACAUGCAAGGCAAGUGCUCUACCACUGAGUUACAACCCCAGCCCCGAUGAUGGAGAUUUUUAAAGGCAGUUCUAAAGUUUUACUUCAAUCCACUUGGGGAACUCAAAACCUAUUUAUGUUUGCUUUCUUAUUUGUUUGGCUUUAAAUAAACUUUUUAUUUUGGAAUAAUUUUAGGUGUACAGAAAAGUUUCAAAAAUUAGUACAGAAUUCCUUUAUGCCCUUUGCCCAAUUUCCCUAAUAUUCGCUUACAUAACCUUCCUACAUUUAUCAAAAUUAAGAAAUUAGCGCUGGUACAUUACUUUUAACUAAACCACAGGUUUUGUUUGGAUUUCACCAGUUUUUCCACUAAUGUUCUUUUUUCUAUUCUAGGCUACAAUCCAGGACACCAUAUUGUAUUUAGUAAUUUUUUUAAAUAAACAAAUAUACACUAACUGUAAUAAUCAUAAAUUACCAUUUACAUUUUGCAUGAAUACCUGUAUUUUCCCAGAAAGGUGAAGGUUAGUAUUUUUAUUUAAUUUCUCUUAUUAGCCACCAGGUGCAGUGGUGCACACCUGUGAUCUCCACAACUCAGAAGGAUGAGGAGGCUAGCCUCAGCAACUUAGUGAGACCCUCACUAAUGUAAUAAGACUCUGUCUCAAAAUUAAAAAAUAAAAAAGACUGGGGAUGUAGUUCAGUGGUAAAGCACCCCUGAGUUCAACCCCCAGUGGAUAAAUAAAUCAUUUCUCUAUUUCCAUGACCUUUGUAAGUUAUUGAACUUUUUCAACCCCUACUUUACAUCAUCCGCAUUUCUGUUUUUUUGUGGUGCUGUGGAAACACCAUUUAUGUUCAGUUUAUGUUCCUGCAGCAGAUGUCAGCAAAAGAGUAAUGCUAGCUGGGGGUGUAGCUCAGUGGUAAUAAGCAUGUGCUUAUUAACAUCUAUGAGACCCUAGUUUCAUCCACAACAUCCCACCCCUCAAAAAAGGUGAAUGCUGGGGCUGGGGUUGUGGCUCAGCGGUAGAGCGCUCACCUAGCACCUGCAAGGCCCUGGAUUCCAUCCUCAGCACCACAUAAAAUAAAUAAAUAAAAUAAAGAUACUGUGUCCAACUACAACUAAAAAAUAAAUUUAAAAAAAAAAGUGAAUGCUAAGGAAUUGCCACUGGUUUUGCUAGAUAUAAUCACAGCAUUAUGCUUAGAACUUUUAAAAAUGAGUCUUUAUCUAUGAGAUACAUUCUAGAGUAGUUACAAAUGAAAUUAUUUACUUUAAAAUACUUUAGCAAAUGAAAAGAUUUGGGCACUAGAUCAAAUAAAAUGGAUUUAUCCAUUAGUGUUCAUUAGAUUACUCUUUUACUUUUCUGUGUGAUUGAAAGAAGCUGUUUGAAAUGAAAAUUUGAAGGAGUUGAACAGCAGAGUCUUUGUUUUCAUGUGACAAUGACCCCAGAUCUUGUGCACAGUUCAUAUUGGCAGCUAGUAAGGUUAACAGAUAUUUCACAGAUCAGCCUAACACGUCUGCAGUCCCCAGCUCUGUGUCAGAAAUACAGGGCUCCCAGGCUGCACAGGCGCGCUGGAAGAGGGAGCGCUGACCUUGGUGCCCGUGCUCCAGGAACUUGAGUCAGACAUACUUGAGGCUUGGAGUAGAACCAACCCUGCAGUAAAUGCUGAUUAAAACUGAAUCUUGGCUGGUAGCAAACACCCCGUAUUUCAAGGUGGGGAUUUUAUUUGCAUCUCUCUUUCUUAGUUUUAUGGGUUUGUGUUGAAUCAUCUCAGCCAUGUGGUUAGCUUUAUUAUUAUUAUUACUGUCCCUAAUAACACUAAUUUAUAGUAAUAUUAAUUUAAAAAUCUCUACAGUCAUUUUUCCCAGGGCCUGCAACCCUUUUUAGUAAUCGUGAUUAUUCUUUUGAUCAUUUAACUAACCUGUCACUGCUAAUAACUGCUGCUUUUCUGCUUGCUGAAAUUGGCUGUCCCUUUGCCUCUAAACCAUCUGAGGGUCUGUCUCCUGGCUCCCUGAGCAGAUGGGCUGGCACUGAGCUCUGCUCUGCUGUGCUGUGUGAUGAUAGCAAAAUCAGUCCAACAUUUUUCUGUCUCUCUUUUUAUCCUGCAGCAGAAGUAUUGGGAGGCCCUAAACUCGGAGCAGGUAUGGACAAUCAUGCUGUCUCUCUCUUCCAGGAGGGACUUCUAUGGCUUGAUUUCAGCUUUUGUUUUUGUUAGAGGCUCUCGGAUGAUGGCACAUGACAAAAUCCAUUAAAAAAAAAAAAAAGAUGUAAAAAGCAAGAGACAAGUUUGAGGACUAGCCGGGCUCUCUUAGUUCAGAGUCUUUUGCUUUGGGGGUAUUCACAUAAGCCCAUACUAUCCACUAGGGACUCAGAAAACAGGCAUAACCCAGUGAAGAUCCAUGGAUUGGAACAGGGCCUGCCUAUGAGCAAGCGAGAGUUGCCGUAGGUCACCAAUGGUAGUGCUGGUGUGACAUGGCUGCAGCAGCUGAUAUGAUAAACAGUUCCACACAUUUGUCUUUCUGAGACCUGGGGCACCUGGUUGCUGUCACCAUGCCAUCUUUGCCUCGCAGUAGCAGAUGAGCACGUGUUUUAUGACAACUGCCUGUGCCUGUCAUCUCCCAGGAUGGUUUCUGAGAGGAGAAUAAAUGCAUUAUCUUUUGUUCAAAUUAUUUUUAUGACUGGUUUCCCACAAUAUUUUUAUUACUUAAAGUGAAGUUUUAACUGGGCACAGUGGCACUACCUUUAAUCGCAGUUACUUGGAAGUCUGAAGCAGGAGGCUCACAAGUUCAAGUCCAAUCUCAGCAAUUUAGCAAGACCCUGUCUCAAAAUAAAAAAAUAAAUAAAUAGGGCUGGGGAUAUAGCCCAAUGGUAGAACAUUUGCCUAGCAUGUAUGAGGCCCUGGAUUCAAUCCCGAGUACCAUGCGGGAGAAAAUGAAGUUGGUUUUUUGUUUGUUUGUGUUUCCUUCCUUCUUUUCUUCUUCUUUUUUUUUUUGUACCAGAGAUUGAACCCAGGGGCAUUCAACCACUGAGCCACAUCCCCAGCCCAUUUUAUUUUUUAUUUUGAGAGAGGGUCUUGUCAAAUUGCUGAGUGUGGCUUUGAACUUGUGAUUUUCCUACUUCAGCCUCCAAGCCCCUGAGAUUACAUAUGUGGCAAUAAAUGAAGUUUUAAAACAUAUUAUUCAAAAGAAAGGGAUUUAAAAUAUUGUCUAAUACCUAGUUCAUUUCAAAGAGUUCACUUGAUCAAAGUGGCAGGUUGUUUCUGUUUGCGAGCAGCUGAUUUGGUCAGGAUUAGCAAGAAUAACUUUUAAGAAGUCAUUUCAGCAGUUGGAGCCAUAGUUCUCAAACAUCAGAGCAUCUAAGAAAUAUCAUAGGAACUUGUUAAAAUGCCAAACCGCAGGUAGGAGCUGAGGUGAGUCCUCAGCAUCAGUCUUUUUGAACAGUAGCCCAGGUCCUUCUGGUGGGGUUGGUCCAGAGUACCUUCUGAGAACUCUGAUGUAGGACCCAGGCUUCAGCUCCAAAACAGCCUUCAUCAGAGAGCACACUUCCAUCCUCUGAGAAUGGAAUGGGCCCAUACUUGUGCCACUGGGCAAGUGGGUCACAGAGGCUGGCCAGCGAGCUCUUUUACUUGGAAUCUUUGAUAACAUCAGGGAAGAAUUUACUUAAAGGUGUCCAGCCAAGUCUAUAACCACAAGUAAAUAAGGAGUUCACACCAGGAGUGGCUGUUACAGCGGGCAGAACUGCAUCAACUAAUCCAGCUCAUCCCCAGGCCUAUAGGGUCACUGGGGUCUUUUUAACAUGAUGGCUUUUUAAAUCAUCAAGUAAUAGAAGUUGGUUGAAUUAUUAUCAGUGAAUUUCUAAUUGAACCAGCUUUUCUUUUCAAAACAGAGACAUAAUGUGUGUUUUAUAACUGGCAUGACAUGGAUGUUAUUUGGGAGACCUUAUUUGGGACCUCUAAGAACUAGACUGUUUGAUUCAGCUCAAGUUUGAACAUCUGGCAGAGUGUCUUUGUCAGACAUAAAUCUGGGGUCUAUGACCUCUGUCCAAAUACAUAAUCCAGCCUAGUCUGCCACAUUUUCCAUCACUGUUGCUUGUUUCUGUGUUUCCCAGUACUGUCAAAUGUGACCUCAUGGCUCAAAAUCAUCAGUCAUAGAGGCUCAGAAAUGGAAGAGGUCUUAUUAUCUAAUUGUUGAUCCAACCCUCAGCUUAUGUACAGAGAAACUGAGGCCCAAAGAAGAGCAAGCAAGUUUGUGACAGAAGGAAGACUUGGCCCAGUCCCCACUUGCCUCUGGAGCUGUAACAUCAAGGGUAGCACUAAGAAUCCCUUGGGUCUUGACCAUGUGCAAAGUUCUCUCUCUAAUCCAUCAUCUGCAAAUACCUUCAUAAAGGCUAUGUUCCAGCUUUUUUUUUUUAACUUUUUACCCUUACCCUUGAAAAUUUCAAUUUUCCAUACUUAUCUGAGUCAGAUUAUGAAAUAUUAACUGGCAGUGCCCACCAUUCUGAAUUGGGUUUUAAGUGUUUAUUUUUUCAGUGCCAGGGAUUGAACCUGGGGGCACUUAAACCACUGAGCCACAUCCCCAACCCUUUUAUUUUUUGAGACAGGGUCUUGCUAAGUCUCUUAGGGCCUUGCUAAGUUGCUGAGGCUGGGUUUGAACUCAUAAUCCUCUUGCCUCAGCCUCCCAAGCUGCUGGGAUUGCAGACAUGCACUUAUACCAGGCACAGUGCCUGAAGUGUUUAUUUUUAACAAAUCUUCUGGACCUCAAAUUGAGAGGAAACACCAAGUGAGAGCCCUGCUCUUCAGGAGUUCAUCAUCUCCCUAAGAGAACAAGGCAGAUGUCCAAAGAAAGACUGAGGCCAUCCAUGUGCAGGUACGGAUGAGUAGCAGAUGUAAUACUAAGAAAGGAGCAGGUGCAAGCUCACUGGGCUAACACAGCCAAGGCAGGCUUCCUGCCAGAGGAGGUAUUUCCUCUCAAGAGUGGGUUGAGGCCAGGUAUGGUGGCACUUGCCUCAAUCCCAGCUACUCAGGAGGCUGAGGUGGGAGGAUGAAAAGUUCUAGGCCAUCCCAGGCAACUUAGCAAGACCUUGUCUCAAAAUAAAAUACAUAAAAUAAAAAGAGGGGCUAUAGGUCACCAGCAGAAUGCUUGCCUAGUACACAUGAGGCCCUAGGUUCAAUUCUUAGCAUCACCAAAAAACCAAAGAAUGGGUUUUUAUUGGUCUUUUCCAAGAAUGAAUUAGGCAUGGAGGUAGACAUUUUCAAGAUAAAGGGAUCGUGUCUCAGACUCACUAGAUAAGAAUUUGCUGAAUAUGGGGGACAGUAGAAAGGAGGUGGCAAGGGAAAUGGGGCUGGUCUGUUCAGGGUAAUGGUUCAUUAAUUCCUUGAUUUAAAGGUGUACUUGCUCCCUUUAGGUGCAGGAAACAGAGGCCUGGUUAACUUGACCUCGCCCAGUUGUCCUUAUCUUUGCCUGUGUCAGAACUAAGAUUGAGUUGUUGUUUAGGGUGCGGGAUAGUAAUAGAUUGAAAGGACCUGUCCCACCAAAAUAUCUUUGUGUCUUUUCUUCACAGUGGGAUCCUGAAGAUGUCAAUUUUGAAAGGAACAAUGACAACAUGGAGACCUUCAGAUUCCAGGUGCCGAGGGGCUCUUCGACGACAGUAGACUUCAGCUCUGCUGAUUAGUAUCUUCUAAAAACCAGUCCAUCAGCUCAAAGACUAGGAUGAGGCAUUCAUCAGUAAAACUGAGCAGAGAUCGGACCUACAGUGACACCCAUAGCAGGGAUUUAAGCCACUGAAGAAGCUGCCCAGGGAAGUGAGGAACCUGGAGCUGAGCGUGGCUGGUUUACCUGGCUCCGAAUAAAUCUAAGAUUGUGGGUUCUAUGGACAGACCUGGAUAUGCCAUUUGUUCUGAAGAUUAGAAGCUCACAGAUGGCUCCUGCUUUGUAAAGAUAAGCCUUCAUCCAAAGGACAAUGGGCCCUCUUUUCCCGUCUUUCCUUUCCCUCUAUUCCCAUGAAAUGCAACUGUAAACUCAGUAUCUGCUGGAUGCCAGGAAUGAGUUCACCUAACAAAUAGCUCAUGUGUUUGGACCUCAGCAGAGCCUGUCCUGCAAGCCCUGGCUUCUGCCCUCCAGUAUCUGCUGGAAGUUAUCCAUAGGACUGCUUGGUCAACCAAGUAUCUGUGAGAUCAGUGGUAUGGCAAGCACAAGCAAAAAAACAAAAGAAUGGGUUUUUAUUGGUCUUUUCGAAGAAUGAAAAGCAAGAGAACUUCCUCCAGCCUGGCAACGCGUGUGCGGAGGCAGGGUUUACAGGUGAGGGGCACUGUGUGCUUUAGGAGGUCACUGAGAGCAUACAGAGGGUAAUAGGUAUGCUGGGACAUGUUAAUUCAAGCACAGUAACCCCAUUUGAAGAUGAAUGGUAGUGUGACCACAUGUGAGGGGAAAGGUGAAGGGAAUGGGGCUAAGGUCGGAACCACUAGAGUGAAUAAAAUUUAACUGAGUGAAUCAAAGCAUCUCACACUGGAAUAUAGUGGUAAGUCAGAAUCCCAGCAGAGCCACAGAAGUCUGCCAUGAG